Molecule: small nucleolar RNA, 86 nt
Organism: Malania oleifera
Lineage: Eukaryota; Viridiplantae; Streptophyta; Magnoliopsida; Santalales; Ximeniaceae
Product: small nucleolar RNA Z159/U59
Exons: 1
Source: RefSeq, a predicted model, not a curated record
GUCUCUGAUGAUGAUCAAGUUAAAAACUUUCGUUCUUCUGAGUAUAGUCCAUGCGGAAUGUUUAUGGAGACCUGAACUGAAGAGAC